Molecule: long non-coding RNA, 251 nt
Filed under: Homo sapiens (human)
Lineage: Eukaryota; Metazoa; Chordata; Mammalia; Primates; Hominidae
Description: HSALNT0002758
Source: RNAcentral
AGGCUGUAAAUAUUGAGGUGGGCACAAGUAUCUCCUCUGUCAUAGCCUGCGCGUCAGUCCUCACCACCUGUGGUGAGGCUGGUGGUGGACAUGGGCUUUUCUGAGCUGAAAGCGUAGCUGCUGUUCACUUGCUCUUCCCUCUGCUGGGAAUGCCACUUCCCUACUCCUCUGCCCAAGUAAUGCCAAUUCAUCCUUCACAAGGUGGCACAAACUGUCCCUUUGAGAAGGCUUUCUGAGCAGCCCCUCCUCUG